AUUGAACGCUGGCGGCGUGCUUAACACAUGCAAGUCGAGCGGUAAGGCCCUUUCGGGGUACGACGAGCGGCGAACGGGUGAGUAACACGUGGGUGACCUGCCCUCAGCUCUGGGAUAAGCCUGGGAAACCGGGUCUAAUACUGGAUAUGACUCCAUGACGCAUGUUGUGGGGUGGAAAGCCUUGUGCGGCUGAGGAUGGGCCCGCGGCCUAUCAGCUUGUUGGUGGGGUGAUGGCCUACCAAGGCGACGACGGGUAGCCGGCCUGAGAGGGCGACCGGCCACACUGGGACUGAGACACGGCCCAGACUCCUACGGGAGGCAGCAGUGGGGAAUCUUGCGCAAUGGGCGAAAGCCUGACGCAGCGACGCCGCGUGAGGGAUGACGGCCU
This 388-nucleotide ribosomal RNA is filed under the name uncultured bacterium. RNAcentral's name for it is "bacterial SSU rRNA". It matches the Rfam family "Bacterial small subunit ribosomal RNA", at positions 28 to 417 of the family's 1533-position model. The record is from RNAcentral.